Molecule: long non-coding RNA, 1197 nt
Organism: Pseudopipra pipra
Lineage: Eukaryota; Metazoa; Chordata; Aves; Passeriformes; Pipridae
Exons: 2
Source: RefSeq, a predicted model, not a curated record
CAAACAAACAAAUACAGCCCAGGAAGGACCUCUCCCAUCAGAUCCCAGACUGCUCGGCAGCCGCUGCCUCUCUUAUUGGUCCUGUUUACAUACUGGAAAGCUGCUAUAAGGUCUCCCUGGAGCCUUCUCUUGUCCAGGCUGAACAACCCCAACUCUCUCAGCCUGUCCUAAUAGGAGAGGUGCUCCAUUCCUCUAAUCGUCUUGGUGGCCUUUAGUCCAAAGCAUCCAUGUCUUUCUUAUGUUUGGGACCCCAGAGAGCUGGAGGCAGUGUUCCAGGUGGGGUCUCAUGAGAGUGGAGUAGAGGGGCAGAAUCGCCUCAACCUGCUGGCCACACUUCUUUUGAUGCAGCCCAGGACACAUUUGGCUUUCUGGGCUGCAAGCACACAUUGCUGGCUCAUGUUAAGCUUCUCAUCCAACACCUCCAAGUCCUUCUCCCCAGAACUGUUCUCAACUCAUUCUCUGCUCAGCGUGUAUUUGUGCUUGGGAUUACCCUGACCCCCAUGCAGGACCUUGCACUUGGUCUUGUUGAACUUCAUAAGGUUUGCACAGACCCACCUCUCAAGCCUGUCCAGGUCCCUGGACAUUCCUUCCCUCCAGCGUGUUAACUGCACCACACAACUUGGUGUUGCCAUCGAACUUGCUGAGGGUAUGCUGAAUACUGCUGAACACUGCUGUCCACGUCAUUGACAAAGAUAUAUAGGGAGUCUCACUCCCUAUAUAUAGGUAUACCCCUAUUAAGCAGGGUACCUCAAAAGAUUAAUUGAUGUAAACAUCCAAGAGAAGAUGAAGAUAUUUCUAAUUCUCUGGAAUAGGGAAAUAACCAAAAGCAAAGGAUAUUUGUUGUGAUUUCUAGGUUAAUUGAAACAAUACAAUAGGACAUGGCGAAUGCUGACAGUUUAACUGUGCUUAAAUGUUUUAAGGAAGGAAUUCAGUGAAGAGUAUAAGAACACAGACAACAUCUUUGACUCGAGCUCUGGUUUUACCCAUGUAGUGCCAGAUGCUGAGAAAGUUUUCAAGUAAAUAAUUGCUGUAUGCUAUACUAUGCUUAGAUUUCACCUUGCAUGGCAAACAGCUUUUUGACAAGGAGGGGUGUUAUGUGAGAGAUGUCUUUGAUUUUGUCCAGUCUAUCAGCUCUUACAUUGUUUUGGAACCUCUUCUACAACUUAUACUGGAAUAAAUGAUGAUAUUUCAUUGUAA